GGGGUAACAGACUGAGCGAUGGCUGCACUGAUGAUCUGGUCUCCGCUCUCAGUACAAACCGCUCACUGAGGAUCCUGGACCUGAGGUCUAACUCCUUCACAGACGGCUCUGUACCCGCUCUCCGCCGCCUCAUAGAGACCUGCACCAGUCUGGAGGAGAUCAGGCUGUGGGGGAAUAGGUUCAGUUCAGACGGACGGAAUCAGCUGAGGUCACUGCGGGGAAUCAGAGCUGAGCUCUCAGUGAGCUUUUCCUUCUUUGGCUGAGGCAUUGACUGCCCACACAGUCUGUGUAAGAUGGAAUAUAUUCUGGACACUCUAGUGACUGAUUAUUAAAGAUGUUAAUCCUGAA
Long non-coding RNA from Callorhinchus milii (elephant shark), 348 nucleotides. RefSeq lists it as uncharacterized. The transcript has 2 exons. The record is from RefSeq and is a predicted model, not a curated record. NCBI's taxonomy places the organism in Eukaryota, Metazoa, Chordata, Chondrichthyes, Chimaeriformes, Callorhinchidae.